Molecule: transfer RNA, 64 nt
Filed under: Bulinus nasutus
Lineage: Eukaryota; Metazoa; Mollusca; Gastropoda; Planorbidae
Description: tRNA-Cys
Source: RNAcentral
UUAUAAUUAGUUUAAGGUGAAAAACAUUUAGUUGCAAACUAAAAAAUACUUAAAGUAUUAUAAU